This 845-nucleotide ribosomal RNA is filed under the name uncultured crenarchaeote. RNAcentral describes it as "bacterial SSU rRNA". It matches the Rfam family "Archaeal small subunit ribosomal RNA", at positions 1 to 863 of the family's 1478-position model. The record is from RNAcentral. Lineage: Archaea; Thermoproteati; Thermoproteota.
UUCCGGUUGAUCCCGCCGGACCUGACUGCUAUCGGAUUGAUACUAAGCCAUGCGAGUCAUUGUAGCAAUACAAGGCAUACGGCUCAGUAACGCGUAGUCAACCUAACCUAUGGACGGGAAUAACCUCGGGAAACUGAGAAUAAUGCCCGAUAGAACAUUAUACCUGGAAUGGUUUAUGUUCCAAAUGAUUUAUCGCCGUAGGAUGGGACUGCGGCCUAUCAGUUUGUUGGUGAGGUAAUGGCCCACCAAGACUAUUACAGGUACGGGCUCUGAGAGGAGUAGCCCGGAGAUGGGUACUGAGACACGGACCCAGGCCCUAUGGGGCGCAGCAGGCGAGAAAACUUUGCAAUGUGCGAAAGCACGACAAGGUUAAUCCGAGUGGUUUCUGCUAAAGGAACCUUUUGUUAGUCCUAGAAACACUAACGAAUAAGGGGUGGGCAAGUUCUGGUGUCAGCCGCCGCGGUAAAACCAGCACCUCAAGUGGUCAGGAUGAUUAUUGGGCCCAAAGCAUCCGUAGCCGGCUCUGUAAGUUUUCGGUUAAAUCUGUACGCUUAACGUACAGGCUGCCGGGAAUACUGCAGAGCUAGGGAGUGGGAGAGGUAGACGGUACUCGGUAGGAAGGGGUAAAAUCCUUUGAUCUAUUGAUGACCACCUGUGGCGAGGGCGGUCUACCAGAACACGUCCGACGGUGAGGGAUGAAAGCUGGGGGAGCAAACCGGAUUAGAUACCCGGGUAGUCCCAGCUGUAACUAUGCAACUCAGUGAUGCAUUGACUUGUGUCAAUGCAGUGCUGCAGGAAGCCGUUAGUUUGCCGCCUGGGAAUACGUACGCAGUAUGAAUUAAGGA